ACAUCCAGCCAUACCACCCUGAACACGCCCGAUCUCCUCUGAUCUUAGAAGCUAAGCAGGGUCGAGUCUGGUUAGUACUUGGACGGGAGUAUUCUCCAAACUUCUUUCCAAAAGGUCACAUUAGCUUGCAUUC
This is a non-coding RNA of Otolemur garnettii (small-eared galago), 133 nucleotides long. NCBI's taxonomy places the organism in Eukaryota, Metazoa, Chordata, Mammalia, Primates, Galagidae. The record is from Rfam.